GAUAAAAGCGAUAGGGCAAACAACAGUAUCAGACAGCACUACUUCACAAACUCAGAACCCAGAAACCCAGAAGGAUGAAGCUCAAAAUCUAUGCCGAUCGGAUGUCUCAGCCAUCUCGUGCUAUCAUCAUCUUCUGCAAGUGAUUUUUAUCCUCUUUCUAAUGUCCAUUUCAUUUUAUUUUAUUUUAUUUUAUUUUUUUUAAGAAAAUGAAAGAAAUAAAGGGUUGUGUUUAUUUGUGUGAUUUGGUUGGUUGAUUGAUUCAAUACUUAAAAUGGGUUUUCUUGUUGUGUGUUUAUAGGGUUAAUAGAAUUGAUUUUGAGGAGGUCAGAGUUGACCUGGCAAAGCGUCAGCAUCUUUCCCCUGAUUUUAAAGGUGAGAAUUUCAGGAUUUGGAUCACAACUCUGCGUUAAGGAUUGUUGGAAAAAGUGAUGGUUGUUGAAAAAUUAUGCCUCUUAAUCUAUCCCUAAAAAGCGUAUUAACAAAUUUGGGAUUUGAGUAUAGGGAAUUGAGGAGUUAUUCAGAAAUUCAUUAAGAAAAAAAUAAAUGAAGGAAAUUUGAGGUAAAGGUGAUGAUAUCUAAUUUAAGAAAGUAAGAAGAAUGUCUCACCUUUCCUUAUUUUUCUGGAAUAAUGUUUGAGAAUAGUUUAGUAAUCAUUGCAAUGGGUGUGAUAUACUUAGGUUUGAUUCCCUUGAUUAACAGAUCGGUGUAAAUUUGGGAAUUUGGAAAUGUUUCCAGAAUUUUGUGGGGUCGUUGAGAGAGUAGAGCAAAAAGGGAGAGAGAUGUAGAUGUGUUAGGCAGUUCCUUGAAUGAAGUAAAGCUACUAAUUUAGUUGAAACCAUGAACUGAUGGGGAAUAUUCCAGCAUUUUGUUAGUGGAAAAGGAAGGGGGAGAGAAAAUUGGUCCCUUGCUUGAGGAUUAGUAUAGAACUAUAGACAUUGCAUGAUCUUCAAUGAUUGCCCGUGAAUAAUAAUUGCGUUGAUUAAUUUGUAUGCCAAGAUGUUAAGUUGGAUUCUGUUGCAAAUCACUGAAAGAAAAAAAACUUCUUGGAGUGUUUUUCUUUUUCCCCCCAUUUUAAAGGCUCAAGCUGUCUUAGCAGUUCAUUAACCGUAAAUCUUCAAGAUUGGAUGUUCUCUAAACUGUCUUUUUAUUUUUUUAUUUUUUAUUUAUCAUGGACCUGUCUAUACUUUAUCAUGCAUAUCGAGCUACCAAGACCGAAUUGCAUGUGUCUUUCUGUGGAAAGUGUAACUCUUAAAAAAAAGUUUUCAAUAGCAUGUUUAUUUCUGUAACUGACAACGUGAAGUUUUUAUUACAAUUUGUACUUACAGUGGUAAACCCUAUGGGGCAAGUUCCAGCAAUAGUUGAUGGAAGAUUUCAGCUGUUUGAGAGGUAUUUGAAAAAUGUGUCUAUUGGCUUCUUGAGUUAUGAUUUUCUGACAUUGUUUGCUAACACUGUUGAUGUUAAAUGUGUGCUUUUGUAGUUUGUAAAAUACUUAUUCAUUACUUAUAUAGCACUUCUUUUGAACUAUGAUUGCUCAAGAUGCACAUUCCUAGUGUUCAUUUAGCAAAAACCUCUUCAUUUAUAAUGGUUGAUUGUGAAGGACCCCCCGUUUUUUUUGUUACUGUUUCAUCCAUAGGGUUGGUGAAUGAAGCUCCUUUGAUGCAUGUGCUUUCCAUGAGUCUGGACCAACUUGUGCUUUUCUUAGAUUUUGUAAGGGA
RNAcentral lists this long non-coding RNA (1715 nucleotides) under Vitis vinifera (wine grape). RNAcentral's name for it is "long non-coding RNA (VVIN_LNC000367)". Lineage: Eukaryota; Viridiplantae; Streptophyta; Magnoliopsida; Vitales; Vitaceae. The record is from RNAcentral.